UCUUGACAUCCACAGAACUUUCCAGAGAUGGAUUGGUGCCUUCGGGAACUGUGAGACAGGUGCUGCAUGGCUGUCGUCAGCUCGUGUUGUGAAAUGUUGGGUUAAGUCCCGCAACGAGCGCAACCCUUAUCCUUUGUUGCCAGCGGUCCGGCCGGGAACUCAAAGGAGACUGCCAGUGAUAAACUGGAGGAAGGUGGGGAUGACGUCAAGUCAUCAUGGCCCUUACGACCAGGGCUACACACGUGCUACAAUGGCGCAUACAAAGAGAAGCGACCUCGCGAGAGCAAGCGGACCUCAUAAAGUGCGUCGUAGUCCGGAUUGGAGUCUGCAACUCGACUCCAUGAAGUCGGAAUCGCUAGUAAUCGUGGAUCAGAAUGCCACGGUGAAUACGUUCCCGGGCCUUGUACACACCGCCCGUCACACCAUGGGAGUGGGUUGCAAAAGAAGUAGGUAGCUUAACCUUCGGGAGGGCGCUUACCACUUUGUGAUUCAUGACUGGGGUGAAGUCGUAACAAGGUAACCGUAGGGGAACCUGC
This 536-nucleotide ribosomal RNA is filed under the name Salmonella enterica subsp. enterica serovar Minnesota. RNAcentral's name for it is "partial 16S ribosomal RNA". It matches the Rfam family "Bacterial small subunit ribosomal RNA", at positions 979 to 1515 of the family's 1533-position model. The record is from RNAcentral. RNAcentral also lists the same sequence under 1 other name. Lineage: Bacteria; Pseudomonadati; Pseudomonadota; Gammaproteobacteria; Enterobacterales; Enterobacteriaceae.